This 20-nucleotide unclassified non-coding RNA is filed under the name Mus musculus (house mouse). RNAcentral's name for it is "oocyte_clustered_small_RNA10283". The record is from RNAcentral. Lineage: Eukaryota; Metazoa; Chordata; Mammalia; Rodentia; Muridae.
AAACCAGCGACACGUGGGGU